UUGUCCCUACGGGGGGCAGCAGUGAGGAAUAUUGGUCAAUGGGCGCGAGCCUGAACCAGCCAAGUAGCGUGAAGGAUGACUGCCCUACGGGUUGUAAACUUCUUUUAUAAAGGAAUAAAGUGAGGCACGUGUGCCUUUUUGUAUGUACUUUAUGAAUAAGGAUCGGCUAACUCCGUGCCAGCAGCCGCGGUAAUACGGUGGAUCCGAGCUUUAUCCGGAUUUAUUGGUUUUAAAGGGAGCGUAGAUGGGUUGUUAAGUCAGUUGUGAAAGUUUGCGGCUCAUCCGUAAUCUUGCAAUUGAUACUG
RNAcentral lists this ribosomal RNA (305 nucleotides) under uncultured bacterium. Its description in RNAcentral is "bacterial SSU rRNA". It matches the Rfam family "Bacterial small subunit ribosomal RNA", at positions 333 to 635 of the family's 1533-position model. The record is from RNAcentral.